GGAGUCUGGUCCGUGUCUCAGUACCAGUGUGGGGGAUAAGCCUCUCAGCUCCCCUAGGCAUCGUAGGCUUGGUGGGCCGUUGCCCCGCCAACUACCUAAUGCCACGCAUGCCCAUCCCGCACCACCGAAGCUUUAGUCCCCAGACCAUGCGGCCCGAGAACACCAUGGGAUAUUAGUGGAAGUUUCCCUCCGUUAUCCCCCUGUGCGGGGCAGGUUGCAUACGCGUUACGCACCCGUGCGCCGGUCGCCAUCAUAAAUAGCAAGCUAUCUAUAUGCUGCCCCUCGACUUGCAUGUGUUAAGCCUGUAGCUAGCGUUCAUC
This 320-nucleotide ribosomal RNA is filed under the name uncultured Bacteroidales bacterium. RNAcentral describes it as "partial 16S ribosomal RNA". The record is from RNAcentral. Lineage: Bacteria; Pseudomonadati; Bacteroidota; Bacteroidia; Bacteroidales.